GGCACAAACUCUCUCUUUUUUAUAAUUAUUGUCUCAUUGGAAAUAAUAAUACAUCGUGGUUUAAGAUGCUUCACAUCUUUAUGGAGAAUCAAUUUUCUUCUCAAAUCUGAGAAAUUGUUGACAACAGAAGAACCAUCCAAAAUGACUGAAAAAUAAACAAGAAGAAGACGAGGAAGACGACAAAGUCGAAGCAAUCUCAUGGUUAUAGAAUCGCGGUUGACAAAGAGAAAGGAGACAAUCACAAUCGAUGAAGACAAAGAGAAGACAUGAGGGAUUGUUAUGAUCUGGCGGUGAAGAGAACGACAGUGCCCAUGAAUGUGUAUCGUUGUAUCAGAAAAAAAAAGAAGAUACGUAAGAGAUGACUCGUUGUCUAUACAUACUAUAUUCGGUGAAAGGACGUCAUACAAUUGUAUAUAUAUGUUUGUUAGUGUAGAUAUUUGUAAUGGUACUAUACUAUUUAAGUAUAGUCGCAUAUUCCUCACAUAUAUCUUAUACUAUAUCCAUGAAACAUAACCGUCUGUCUUGCACUCAAAUUUAACAGUUCUCUUAUUCAUCGUGUUCAUUUGCAAUGCAAUAUAAUAGUUUUUAUGUUCUAUUCUAAUUGAUGAUUGAUAAAUAGUGUUUUUUUUACCAUCUUUAUCCCUUCUAGCAGACAUAUCAUUUUAAUUUAUCGAUCUUAUUAUUGGUUAAUGUCAAUAUCUGACUUUAUGUAUUCUCUUUAGCAAUGGUCGCACACAUCGUAUUAACAAAUUAAAUAGUUUUCAGUAACUUAAUUUUUAGUACUAUUUGUUUAGAAUAGAAUAACUCAAUUUUCUUAUGUGCAUAUCUUACGGUUUGUAAUUUAUGUGUAUUAAUCGUUGUUUCAUAAUUGUUAAUAUUUGUGAUUUGUAAUGAAAAAAAGUUAAAAUGAUAUAUUAUGGUUUAUAAUUGUGUUUGGGUUUAAUGAUUUGGGUUUAGGGUUUAAUAUUUAGGGGCUAGGGUUGGGUAUUUAGGGGAUGUUGGGGUGCAGGCGAGGUCUAUAAAUGAAAUAGCAGCUUGAACCAUGCUCAAUUUGCAAUGUGAGACUAUUAUACUUUUAUAUAUAAAAAUGUAAUAUUUGUUCUAUUUUUAAUGUUAUUAAAUAGAAUAGAACAAUAUUUUUUCGUAUUACAAAACAAAACAAGGAUUGCGACGACAACAAAACGAAUAUGUAUAUAAUAAAUAAGUGUGUGAGGUGAGUUUCAUUGAUUUGAUAAUAAAUAGUAGUGAUUCAUUUUUAUCCAUAUGUAAAUGGAAUCAACCAUUCAUACUAUACUAAUUAUAAAAAGGGUAAACUUGCUAUAUUCCCACGAGAACUAUCAUAUAGCAUCAGAUGUCCACCGAACUAUGACCUCAUGAUAUAUGUCCAUAAAAUGAAUAUUGUAAACGUAUUUCUCUCCGAAUUUAAAGUUACAAUCUUAUUUCACCCCGAACCGAUAAUUUAAAACUUAAUUAUUCAUAAACCAUUAUUUUAAUCGGUUAACUAUUUACCAACCAAAACUCAAUUUCAAUUAAACCAAACCAUUUGACUCAAAAAAAAAUAAGGAAAUAAAACAGACCCGUCAACCCGACCCAGUGUUCUCUUCUUCUUCUUCACCCGAACUCAAUCCUUACCUCUCCAAUCAAAUUUCUGAUCCUUAGACACAAUGUUCACAUGUCUGAACCCUUCGAACUCACCACUUCUCUGCCACAGCUUCUUAUUCUCUUCCAUGGGAAGGUUGAAGAAAUCUUGAACCUCUAUCUCUAAUUUUUGGGUAAACGCAGAGCCCAACCAAAAGAAGCAUGGGCUUCUGGCCGUCAGAUAAUAUUAAUAUAAUCGGCCACAUUUUUUCAGAAGUUUGUCUUUAGUACAGUGGUUAAAUAGCUAAUGGUUUGGAACCCACACUGGUGUUCGAAGCACCCCACCUACAUGAUUAUUUUUUCGGCCACUUUUUUUUCAUUUUGGGCUUCUAGCCUUCAAAAUUCUAGUCCCGACUCUGGGUAAAGGUGCUAUUUCUCCACGAGAACUAUCAUAUAGCAUCAGAUAUCCACCGAACUAUAACCUUAUGCUAUAUGUCCAUGAAAUGAAUAUUGUAAACAUAUUUCUCCCCGAAUUAAAAGAUAUAAUCUUAUUUCACUUCGAACCCAUAGUUUAAAAUUUAAUUAUACAUAAACCAUAAUUUUAAUCGGUUUACUACUUACCAAAUAAUAUUAACCAUUUAAACCAAACCAAAAACUCAGUUUUAAUUAAACCAAACCAUUUGACUCAAAAAGAAAAAAACAACCCAACCCAUUGUUCUCUUCUUCUCCACCCGAACCCAAUCCUUACCUCUCUCCAAUCAAAUUUGUUUGUUGUAGUGGAUCCAAUUAUCCAAGGAUUUGUUCUUUGGUGUUAUAACCCGAUGGAGGAGAAACACAGUGGAGGUCUCUUCUUGUACCUUCCGUCCUAGAGAUCAUGAAAGAGAAGGACUUUAUACGACUGUUCCUCCUAGGUAUAACCGGUCUGAUCAAAACAAAACAGAGACUUUAGAUGAUACUUGUCUGAGUUCAAGAUUCCAGUCAUCACAUGAAACGCUUGUGUUCUGUUUCUGCCAUGGAUACUAAGCUCGAGAACCUCGAUCUAGCUUGCAAGAUUAGGGAUUUUUUCAAAUAAAAUACUUUUUUUAGAUGUUGAAGCUUUGUAUUUAUAUUAAAAGCUCUCUUUGUACCAAUCUGUCUACAUCUAGUCAACCAUGGAAUAGAUUCAUCUUUCCUGGAAAAAUAAAAAUGAUCUGUAAACUGCGAUUAAAUUUCAUCUUUCUUGUACGCCA
Molecule: long non-coding RNA, 2807 nt
Organism: Brassica napus (rape)
Lineage: Eukaryota; Viridiplantae; Streptophyta; Magnoliopsida; Brassicales; Brassicaceae
Exons: 2
Source: RefSeq, a predicted model, not a curated record